RNAcentral lists this signal recognition particle RNA (295 nucleotides) under Microcebus murinus (gray mouse lemur). RNAcentral's name for it is "Metazoan signal recognition particle RNA (ENSMICG00000035933.2)". The stretch from base 87 to 256 matches the Rfam family "Metazoan signal recognition particle RNA", at positions 88 to 259 of the family's 299-position model. From Rfam's summary of the family: The signal recognition particle (SRP) is a universally conserved ribonucleoprotein. It is involved in the co-translational targeting of proteins to membranes. The eukaryotic SRP consists of a 300-nucleotide 7S RNA and six proteins: SRPs 72, 68, 54, 19, 14, and 9. The record is from RNAcentral. Lineage: Eukaryota; Metazoa; Chordata; Mammalia; Primates; Cheirogaleidae.
GCGAAUGUUAUAGCAGCACAAUUCACAAUUGCACAGAUGUGGAAACAACCCAAGUGUCCAUCAAUACAUGAGUGGAUUAAUAAAAUGUGGUAUAUGUAUACCAUGGAGUACUAUUCAGGUAUAAGAAACAACAGUGAUCCCGGGAGCGGGGGACCACCAGGUUGCCUAAGGAGGGGUGAACCGGCCCAGGUCGGAAACGGAGCAGGUCAAAACUCCCAUGCUGAUCAGUAGUGGGAUCGCGCCUGUGAAUAGCCACUGCACUCCAGCCUGGGCAACAUAGCGAGACCCCGUCUCU